ACCUACGGGGGGCAGCAGUGGGGAAUAUUGCGCAAUGGGCGAGAGCCUGACGCAGCGACGCCGCGUGAGGGAUGAAGGUCUUCGGAUCGUAAACCUCUGUCAGCAGGGAAGAACGGUCACUGUGCUAAUCAGCAGUGAAUUGACGGUACCUGCAAAGGAAGCACCGGCUAACUCCGUGCCAGCAGCCGCGGUAAUACGGAGGGGGCGAGCGUUAAUCGGAAUUACUGGGCGUAAAGCGCUCGUAGGCGGUAUGUCAAGUCAAGAGUGAAAUACCCGCGCUCAACGUGGGAACUGCCUUUGAAACU
This 305-nucleotide ribosomal RNA is filed under the name uncultured bacterium. Its description in RNAcentral is "bacterial SSU rRNA". It matches the Rfam family "Bacterial small subunit ribosomal RNA", at positions 337 to 634 of the family's 1533-position model. The record is from RNAcentral.